GUCCCCGGCGUCCGGGCGCCCUGCAUGGAUCCCCCACCCCAGCUCCUGCUCCCCGGCGGCGGCCGGUGGGCAGAAAGACCGAAACCCACUCACGGCCGCCUGCCGAAUCGCGGCUCUGCUGUUUGUGGGGCGUGCUAGAAACGUGGUCCUAAAAAGAAUGGCGUCCAUUUACAUAAUGCUUUGUUUGCGUUUCGCAAGUUUCUUUCGGUUAAAGCCACAGAAACCCCACCUCCUGCCCUUGUGUCGUUUCCACCGCGGCACCCUUUUCCGACAUUAGAAACAAUAGUGUACGCCUGUGGAGGCCUCGUUUGUUCAGGGGCUGCCGGCCAGGGCUUCAGGACGUUUCUGCGGCUUUCCCCGCGCGGCCUGGGCUCCCGCGGCUGCUUUUCGGGCCCAUGGGCGCAGCCACUGCGCCAGGCUCAAGGGGGGCGGCCCCGUCAGGGCCCGCCAUCUUGGAAGGCCUUUUUUGCCGGUUCUUCCCGCUGAGGAAGUGUCGCUCAAGACGCUGGCCUAUGAGUUGUGAUUUCUGCCUUUUCCCCUUCCUCCUUGGGCUAAGCCAGACCAGAAAGGGCCCCGUGCGCAACGUGCUUCACAAUCUCUCAGGGAAAGCGGCUAACGUGGCGCUACUCCGCCUCCCCUGUUCCUUACCCUUGGGGCGGCCGCCAUGUUUCCUGAACACAAAAUGGCGACACGUGGUUAGCAUUCGUCGCCAACGAGAAAUUGGGGUCGGCCCGAAAGCUCUAGAAUGCACCCCUCUUCCUCCCCGGGGCCUUCCACCUCCGCGAGUUUUAUGACUUAAAAAAGCCCACAGGCUGGUCUGAAGGUCGGAGGCCUAAUUUUAACGCGUUUUCCUCCCUUUAAUUUGAAACGGGAACGCGAAUGACUGUAAAAUGUGGGCACAAUAUUUAAUCUCUCGCCUUUUUAAAGCUUAAUAGUGGAUAAUAGGGGGGCAGUAUCAAGGGAUAAUUUGGGUCCCCACAGUACCAAAGCAUUUAGAAACCUCUGUUUAAUUUAAGGAAUGAGAUAAGUUACUGCUUUUCUAGACUUCCUAGCAUGGGCUGUUGUGCUGGAGAGAACGAGAGCUACGAAGAGACUACAGUGCCUCUGACUUUUUCAUAGGACAGUUGGCCGAGGAAGACAAACAUAAAGAUGAAGUGCUUAAUUCAAGGUCACACAAUGUCGGGGAUGGACCUCCAGAUUUCCUUACUGACCUGCAUUAUCUUGUGGAUACCUGAGUGAAUUCCACACCACCCAUUUUAUAGAUGAAACCACUGAGACAUGGAGCAAUUGACUGAGUAGUCACUGCCCCACCCCUGCCUGGAGCCUCACACAUGACUCGCCUCCUCUCAGUGACCACAGGUGAGACGUGGUCUUGUAACACAGUGGUUAAGAAUGUGACUUUGGAGCCAGCCUGCUAGGGGCUGAAUUCUGACUCAGCCAUUUACUAACUGUGUGACCUUAGGCUGGAGUGCAAUGGCAUGAUCUCGGCUCAUCACAACCUCUGCUUCCUGGGUUCAAGCGAUUCUCCUGCCUCAGCCUCCCGAGUACCUGGGACUACAGGCACUCGCCACCAUGCCCGGCUGAUUUUUGUAUUUUUAAUAGAGAUGGUUUCACUAUGUUGGCCAGGCUGGUCUCGAACUCCUGACCUUGUGAUCUGCCCACCUCAGCCUCGAAAAGUGCUGGGAUUACAGGCGUGAGCCACUGCGCCCAGCCUUGUAUUUUUUUUCAGUUUGGGUAGCUGUCCCUAAUUCAUUUGUUAAAGGAGAAGCAAGAGCAAGAACCUUUAAUCUGUUCUCCUCUUCCCUAAUUUGAAAGUAGCUUGUUAUUUUGAAUAUCACUUUCUCUGAAAUAGCACAUCUCCAUCUCAGAGAAUGGAUUUAAUGUUUGGAUACAGCCAAAAGUCAUUUCAUUACCAAACCAUGGGGUGAAUAUACCAUGUAAAGCAGUUUGGGAUCAGAACUCACAGUCUGAAUUGUAAGUGAUGAGACUGCUGUCUCUCUGCUACAGCUUCUUGGCUGGCUCUGAAGGCUCUUUGAAGGCAGAUCCUAACAAGGGGACUGCUUUGAAGGGCCAUUGUUCAUUUGGAAUGAUAAAGUCUAUGUUGUUCAAAAAACAAAUGCUUGUAGCAGGUAUUUUUUCACUCCAGACUGAGAAUAUUGGUGGGAUAUUGAUAAGGGGUACUGAAUGGUAAUAAACAUGUGCUCUAGCUCUGUGCUAGUCAGCUUAUUUCAGAACUCUAGUUUGAUUCAGUUUCUUGCCUCUGACUCAAAAUGGAGGGAGAGUGAUUUUUACAUAAGAGAACACACCCACAUAUCCUUUUGGCAGCAGCUACCUGCCAGAGAUGUUGAAGAAGAGUAGCCAACCUUUACACAGCAGAUAUUGUGUGCCAGUCAUAGUCCUAAGUAUAAUACCUUACAUGUAUAAACUUCUUAUAAGGUUGGUGCUCUGUACCGAAUUGAAUAGUAUCCCCCAAAAUUCAUGUUGUCCCAGAACCUAUGAAAGUGAUCUUACUUGAGGGAGGGGGGAGGGGGGAGGGAUAGCAUUAGGAGAUAUACCUAAUGCUAAAUGACGAGUUAAUGGGUGUAGCACACCAGCAUGGCACAUGUAUACAUAUGUAACUAACCUGCACAUUGUGCACAUGUACCCUAAAACUUAAAGUAUAAUAAUAAUAAAAUAAAAAAAAAAAAGAAAGUGAUCUUACUUGGAAAUAAGGUCUUUGCACAUAUGAUCAAGUUGAGAUGAAGUUGUACUGGAAAGUCUGUCUAGUGACUGGUGUUGUCAUAAGAAGAGAGGGACACAGAGGGAAGAUGGCCACAUGAAGAUGGAGGCAGAGAUUGCAGUUAUGCUGCUGCAAACUAAGGAAUGGCUCUGGCCCUCCAAGGAUUGCUGAUAACCACCAGAAACUAGAAGAGACAAGGAAGGAUUCUUCCCUAGAGCCUUCAGAGGGAGCAUGGCCCUACUGACACCUGGAUUUCAAACUUGUAGCUUCCUAAACUGCAAGAGAAUAAAUUUCUGUUGUUUUAAGCCA
This 3028-nucleotide long non-coding RNA is filed under the name Homo sapiens (human). RNAcentral's name for it is "PCBP1 antisense RNA 1, transcript variant 56 (PCBP1-AS1)". The record is from RNAcentral. Lineage: Eukaryota; Metazoa; Chordata; Mammalia; Primates; Hominidae.